Molecule: ribosomal RNA, 372 nt
Filed under: uncultured organism
Description: bacterial SSU rRNA
Rfam family: Bacterial small subunit ribosomal RNA
Source: RNAcentral
CGUAGGGUGCGAGCGUUAAUCGGAAUUACUGGGCGUAAAGCGUGCGCAGGCGGUUUUGUAAGACAGGCGUGAAAUCCCCGGGCUCAACCUGGGAACUGCGUUUGUGACUGCAAGGCUAGAGUAUGGCAGAGGGGGGUGGAAUUCCACGUGUAGCAGUGAAAUGCGUAGAGAUGUGGAGGAACACCGAUGGCGAAGGCAGCCCCCUGGGCCAAUACUGACGCUCAUGCACGAAAGCGUGGGUAGCAAACAGGAUUAGAUACCCUGGUAGUCCACGCCCUAAACGAUGUCAACUAGGUGUUGGGUGGGUAAAACCAUUUAGUACCGGAGCUAACGCGUAAAGUUGACCGCCUGGGGAGUACGGCCGCAAGGUUA